Molecule: ribosomal RNA, 253 nt
Filed under: uncultured bacterium
Lineage: Bacteria
Description: partial 16S ribosomal RNA
Rfam family: Bacterial small subunit ribosomal RNA
Source: RNAcentral
UACGAGGGGGGCGAGCGUUGUUCGGAAUUAUUGGGCGUAAAGGGUGCGUAGGCGGCCAACUAAGUCAGACGUGAAAUCCCUCGGCUUAACCGGGGAACUGCGUCUGAUACUGGUUGGCUUGAGUGUGGGAGAGGGAUGCGGGAUUCCAGGUGUAGCGGUGAAAUGCGUAGAUAUCUGGAGGAACACCGGUGGCGAAGGCGGCAUCCUGGACCAUUACUGACGCUGAGGAGCGAAAGCCAGGGGAGCAAACGGG